RNAcentral lists this ribosomal RNA (447 nucleotides) under uncultured Erysipelothrix sp. RNAcentral's name for it is "bacterial SSU rRNA". It matches the Rfam family "Bacterial small subunit ribosomal RNA", at positions 929 to 1382 of the family's 1533-position model. The record is from RNAcentral. Lineage: Bacteria; Bacillati; Bacillota; Erysipelotrichia; Erysipelotrichales; Erysipelotrichaceae.
GCGUGGAUUAUGUUGUUUAAUUCGACGCAACGCGAAGAACCUUACCAGGCCUUGACAUACUCGGCAAAGCUCUAGAGAUAGAGUGGAGGCUAUCCGGGAUACAGGUGGUGCAUGGUUGUCGUCAGCUCGUGUCGUGAGAUGUUGGGUUAAGUCCCGCAACGAGCGCAACCCUUGUCUUUAGUUACCGUCAUUCAGUUGGGGACUCUAGAGAGACUGCCGGUGAUAAACCGGAGGAAGGUGGGGAUGACGUCAAAUCAUCAUGCCCCUUAUGGCCUGGGCUACAAACGUAAUACAAUGGCGUAUACAAAGGGAUGCGAAAGGGCGACCUGGAGCAAAACUCACAAAGUACGUCUCAGUUCAGAUUGGAGUCUGCAACUCGACUCCAUGAAGGCGGAAUCGCUAGUAAUCGCGGAUCAGCAUGCCGCGGUGAAUACGUUCUCGGGGUUU